RNAcentral lists this ribosomal RNA (243 nucleotides) under uncultured Actinomycetales bacterium. RNAcentral's name for it is "partial 16S ribosomal RNA". It matches the Rfam family "Bacterial small subunit ribosomal RNA", at positions 88 to 334 of the family's 1533-position model. The record is from RNAcentral. Lineage: Bacteria; Bacillati; Actinomycetota; Actinomycetes; Actinomycetales.
UACUCGAGUGGCGAACGGGUGAGUAACACGUGGGUGAUCUGCCCUGCACUUCGGGAUAAGCCUGGGAAACUGGGUCUAAUACCGGAUAGGAGCCAUUUUUAGUGUGAUGGUUGGAAAGUUUUUUCGGUGUAGGAUGAGCUCGCGGCCUAUCAGCUUGUUGGAGGGGUAAUGGCCUACCAAGGCGGCGACGGGUAGCCGGCCUGAGAGGGUGGACGGCCACAUUGGGACUGAGAUACGGCCCAG